This 1197-nucleotide long non-coding RNA is filed under the name Brachypodium distachyon (stiff brome). RNAcentral describes it as "long non-coding RNA (BDIS_LNC002853)". The record is from RNAcentral. Lineage: Eukaryota; Viridiplantae; Streptophyta; Magnoliopsida; Poales; Poaceae.
GACCGCUCAUAAACAAUUCUAAACAUCUCUACAAUCAACAAAUACAGCAAACAAAUAAGCCCACGGCCUGCACAGCCAUAAUGUCGGUGCAUAUCUCAGGUCUCUGCUUCGAAUUCAGCCAAGACUAGCUAGUUCACUGUACAUGCAUAUAUGGUCGCUACUCUACGAGAUCCGCACGGAGCAAUCUACCAGGUGCAAUAAGAAUAUCUAGGAAAUUAUUUUAAGAAGGCAAGCAACUAUACUUGAAAGGUUCUAAUAUAAUACUAAAGUGUGAUCUGUAAGAUGGUGAAAUCUCAAAACAUCCUGCAUGGCCGCUCAUGAAACAGUAUUGAACACGUCUAUAAUCAACACAUCCAGCAAAAUAAUAAGUCAACCGGCACAACCAUAAUGUCGGUGCAUAUCUCGGACCUCCUGUUUGAUUUUUUUUAUUUUUUUUGCGGGGAUCUCCUGUUCGAAUUAACCCAGCAAAGAUUAGUUCCAACCAAGCAAGGUCCAUGACCAUAUGCAGCGCAACAGCCUGUGAAGCAUGAAGCAUCCAUCACCCCUGACGGCUACGAGUCAUGACCAUUGGCAGCAAGAGCAGGCUGCGCUCCUGGUGCUGCUUCGAUUGCAAGAUGCUGCUGCUCUUCGGUUGGUGCUUCCGUCAUUCUGUCCUUCUGUAGGGUACAAGAUUUAGUUCCAAGUGAGAUAGCUGAACAUGUCAGGAUUCACGUGUACGAUUUACCGCACCACAGAAAAUCUUGACAGUACGUAUGCAUGUCUAGCACUGCAAAAUAGGGACAUGUAUAGUUGUUGUAGAUUACUACAAAGUUUCAAGAUGAUGGUUUUACAAAACUCCGAGUUCUGGUCACAGAAAGGUGAGAAAGGUAAUUACAUUGAUCAAAUUUAUAAUCUAAUACGCUAGAAUAUAUAUCUCUUGGUUAUUUGGUAAGGUAGGAUAUGUCAAUCUAAUGGAAGUGUGCAAUUAGAGAUUUGCACAUAGGUUAUUUGAUACAGUAGGAUGUCAAUUUAACAGAAGUUAAUUAGUGACUUGUAGGAUGUGAAUCUAAAAAGCGUGGAAUCAGUGACUUAAAUCAUCAUUAGUUGCUGGUGGCACAACUUGCAGAGGCGCAGGUGCAAUAGAACAUUUUGAGUGUGUACUAACCAUUUCCUUGAGUGUGUACUAAUUAGUCUUGUGUGUACUAACCAUUUGUGUAC